AUUGAACGCUGGCGGCAGGCCUAACACACGCAAGUCGAACGGUAACAGGAAGAAGCUUGCUUCUUUGCUGACGAGUGGCGGACGGGUGAGUAAUGUCUGGGAAACUGCCUGAUGGAGGGGGAUAACUACUGGAAACGGUAGCUAAUACCGCAUAACGUCGCAAGACCAAAAAGGGGGACCUUCGGGCCUCUUGCCAUCGGAUGUGCCCAGAUGGGAUUAGCUAGUAGGUGGGGUAACGGCUCACCUAGGCGACGAUCCCUAGCUGGUCUGAGAGGAUGACCAGCCACACUGGAACUGAGACACGGUCCAGACUCCUACGGGAGGCAGCAGUGGGGAAUAUUGCACAAUGGGCGCAAGCCUGAUGCAGCCAUGCCGCGUGUAUGAAGAAGGCCUUCGGGUUGUAAAGUACUUUCAGCGGGGAGGAAGGGAGUAAAGUUAAUACCUUUGCUCAUUGACGUUACCCGCAGAAGAAGCACCGGCUAACUCCGUG
This 490-nucleotide ribosomal RNA is filed under the name uncultured bacterium. RNAcentral describes it as "partial 16S ribosomal RNA". It matches the Rfam family "Bacterial small subunit ribosomal RNA", at positions 30 to 507 of the family's 1533-position model. The record is from RNAcentral.